This 70-nucleotide small RNA is filed under the name Desulfatibacillum alkenivorans AK-01. Its description in RNAcentral is "int-alpA RNA". It matches the Rfam family "int-alpA RNA". Rfam says of the family: Acidobacteria (1 example), Planctomycetes (1 example), Proteobacteria. Environment (Lake Washington) The record is from Rfam by way of RNAcentral. Lineage: Bacteria; Pseudomonadati; Thermodesulfobacteriota; Desulfobacteria; Desulfobacterales; Desulfatibacillaceae.
GCACCGGAUAGGUUGGCCCCCGAAAAGGCGUUUCUCGGACGCCCUGCCGGUGCAUCCCAUACAGCCGAGG